GUGGUUCAUGACUGGGGUGAAGUCGUAACAAGGUAGCGCUAGGGGAACCUGGCGCUGGAUCACCUCCUUAUACGAUGAU
RNAcentral lists this ribosomal RNA (79 nucleotides) under Vibrio alginolyticus. Its description in RNAcentral is "partial 16S ribosomal RNA". The stretch from base 1 to 70 matches the Rfam family "Bacterial small subunit ribosomal RNA", at positions 1464 to 1533 of the family's 1533-position model. RNAcentral also lists the same sequence under 3 other names. The record is from RNAcentral. Lineage: Bacteria; Pseudomonadati; Pseudomonadota; Gammaproteobacteria; Vibrionales; Vibrionaceae.